AAUAUUGCACAAUGGGCGGAAGCCUGAUGCAGCGACGCCGCGUGGGGGAUGACGGCCUUCGGGUUGUAAAGCACUUUUGGCAGGGAAGAAAAGGCUCUGGUUAAUACCUGGAGCUGCUGACGGUACCUGCAGAAUAAGCACCGGCUAACUCAGUGGCAGCAGCCGCGGUAAUACGUAGGUGGCGGGCGUUAGCCGGAAUUACUGGGUGUAAAGGGUGUGUAGGCGGGAUCGCCAGUCAGUGGUGAAACCCGUGGGCUCAACCCACGGCCUGCCAUUGAAACUGCGGUUCUUGAGAAUGGGAGAGGUAAACGGAAUUCCCGGUGUAGCGGUGAAAUGCGUAGAUAUCGGGAGGAACAUCGGUGGCGAAGGCGGUUUACUGGACCAUAACUGACGCUGAGACACGAAAGCGUGGGGAGCAAACAGG
RNAcentral lists this ribosomal RNA (424 nucleotides) under uncultured bacterium. RNAcentral describes it as "partial 16S ribosomal RNA". It matches the Rfam family "Bacterial small subunit ribosomal RNA", at positions 360 to 776 of the family's 1533-position model. The record is from RNAcentral.